GAUGAACGCUAGCGGCAGGCUUAAUACAUGCAAGUCGAGGGGCAGCGGGAGUAGCAAUACUUGCCGGCGACCGGCGCACGGGUGCGUAACACGUAUACAAUCUGCCUCCAACAUGGGGAUAGCCCGGAGAAAUUCGGAUUAAUACCCAGUAACAAAUUUAACGGCAUCGUUAGAUUUUGAAAGCUCAGGCGGUUGGAGAUGAGUAUGCGUCUGAUUAGCUAGUUGGUGGUGUAACGGACCACCAAGGCGACGAUCAGUAGGGGAUCUGAGAGGACUACCCCCCACACUGGUACUGAGACACGGACCAGACUCCUACGGGAGGCAGCAGUAAGGAAUAUUGGACAAUGCCCGCAAGGGUGAUCCAGCCAUGCCGCGUGCAGGAAGACGGCCCUAUGGGUUGUAAACUGCUUUUGAACUAGAGAAAACCCCUUUACGUGUAAAGGGCUGAUAGUAUAGUUAGAAUAAGGAUCGGCUAACUUCGUGCCAGCAGCCGCAGUAA
This 499-nucleotide ribosomal RNA is filed under the name uncultured bacterium. RNAcentral describes it as "partial 16S ribosomal RNA". It matches the Rfam family "Bacterial small subunit ribosomal RNA", at positions 28 to 523 of the family's 1533-position model. The record is from RNAcentral.